RNAcentral lists this ribosomal RNA (497 nucleotides) under uncultured bacterium. RNAcentral's name for it is "partial 16S ribosomal RNA". It matches the Rfam family "Bacterial small subunit ribosomal RNA", at positions 28 to 507 of the family's 1533-position model. The record is from RNAcentral.
GAUGAACGCUGGCGGCGUGCCUAAUACAUGCAAGUCGAGCGAACGGACGAGAAGCUUGCUUUUCUGAUGUUAGCGGCGGACGGGUGAGUAACACGUGGAUAACCUACCUACAAGACUGGGAUAACUUCGGGAAACCGGAGCUAAUCCCGGAUAAUAUUUUGAACCGCAUGGUUCAAAAGUGAAAGACGGUCUUGCUGUCACUUAUAGAUGGAUCCGCGCUGCAUUAGCUAGUUGGUAAGGUAACGGCUUACCAAGGCAACGAUGCAUAGCCGACCUGAGAGGGGGAUCGGCCACACUGGAACGGAGACACGGUCCAGACUCCUACGGGAGGCAGCAGUAGGGAACCGUCCGCAAUGGGCGAAAGCCUGACGGAGCAACGCCGCGUGAGUGAUGAAGGUCUUCGGAUCGUAAAACUCUGUUAUUAGGGAAGAACAUAUGUGUAAGUAACUGUGCACAUCUUGACGGUACCUAAUCAGAAAGCCACGGCUAACUACGUG